Molecule: transfer RNA, 72 nt
Filed under: Camelus bactrianus (Bactrian camel)
Lineage: Eukaryota; Metazoa; Chordata; Mammalia; Artiodactyla; Camelidae
Also listed under: 2 other names
Rfam family: tRNA
About the family: Transfer RNA (tRNA) molecules are approximately 80 nucleotides in length. Their secondary structure includes four short double-helical elements and three loops (D, anti-codon, and T loops). Further hydrogen bonds mediate the characteristic L-shaped molecular structure. tRNAs have two regions of fundamental functional importance: the anti-codon, which is responsible for specific mRNA codon recognition, and the 3' end, to which the tRNAs corresponding amino acid is attached (by aminoacyl-tRNA synthetases). tRNAs cope with the degeneracy of the genetic code in two manners: having more than one tRNA (with a specific anti-codon) for a particular amino acid; and 'wobble' base-pairing, i.e. permitting non-standard base-pairing at the 3rd anti-codon position.
Source: Rfam by way of RNAcentral
GGGUAAAUAGCUCAGUGGUGGAGUGUGUGCUUAGCAUGCAUGAGGUCUUGGGUUCAAUCCUCAGUACCCCCG